RNAcentral lists this ribosomal RNA (448 nucleotides) under Kocuria rhizophila. RNAcentral's name for it is "bacterial SSU rRNA". It matches the Rfam family "Bacterial small subunit ribosomal RNA", at positions 336 to 795 of the family's 1533-position model. Lineage: Bacteria; Bacillati; Actinomycetota; Actinomycetes; Micrococcales; Micrococcaceae. The record is from RNAcentral.
CUCCUACGGGAGGCAGGCAGUGGGGAAUAUUGCACAAUGGGCGGAAGCGUGAUGCAGAGAUGCCGCGUGAGGGAUGCCGGCCUUCGGGUUGUAAACCUCUUUCAGCACGGAAGAAGCGAAAGUGACGGUACGUGCAGAAGAAGCACCGGCUAACUACGUGCCAGCAGCCGCGGUAAUACGUAGGGCGCAAGCGUUAUCCGGAAUUAUUGGGCGUAAAGAGCUCGUAGGCGGUUUGUCGCGUCUGCUGUGAAAGCCCGGGGCUUAACCCCGGGUGUGCAGUGGGUACGGGCAGACUUGAGUGCAGUAGGGGAGACUGGAAUUCCUGGUGUAGCGGUGAAAUGCGCAGAUAUCAGGAGGAACACCGAUGGCGAAGGCAGGUCUCUGGGCUGUUACUGACGCUGAGGAGCGAAAGCAUGGGGAGCGAACAGGAUUAGAUACCCUGGUAGUC